This 496-nucleotide ribosomal RNA is filed under the name uncultured bacterium. RNAcentral describes it as "partial 16S ribosomal RNA". It matches the Rfam family "Bacterial small subunit ribosomal RNA", at positions 28 to 506 of the family's 1533-position model. The record is from RNAcentral.
GAUGAACGCUGGCGGCGUGCCUAAUACAUGCAAGUCGAGCGAACAGACGAGGAGCUUGCUCCUCUGACGUUAGCGGCGGACGGGUGAGUAACACGUGGAUAACCUACCUAUAAGACUGGGAUAACUUCGGGAAACCGGAGCUAAUACCGGAUAAUAUAUUGAACCGCAUGGUUCAAUAGUGAAAGACGGUUUUGCUGUCACUUAUAGAUGGAUCCGCGCCGCAUUAGCUAGUUGGUAAGGUAACGGCUUACCAAGGCAACGAUGCGUAGCCGACCUGAGAGGGUGAUCGGCCACACUGGACCUGGGACACGGUCCAGCCUCCUACGGGGGGCAGCAGUAGGGAAUCUUCCGCAAUGGGCGAAAGCCUGACGGAGCAACGCCGCGUGAGUGAUGAAGGUCUUCGGAUCGUAAAACUCUGUUAUUAGGGAAGAACAAAUGUGUAAGUAACUAUGCACGUCUGGACGGUACCUAAUCAGAAGGCCACGGCUACCUACGG